RNAcentral lists this small nucleolar RNA (128 nucleotides) under Cebus imitator (Panamanian white-faced capuchin). RNAcentral describes it as "Small nucleolar RNA ACA64 (ENSCCAG00000011195.1)". It matches the Rfam family "Small nucleolar RNA ACA64". The record is from Rfam by way of RNAcentral. Lineage: Eukaryota; Metazoa; Chordata; Mammalia; Primates; Cebidae.
GUUGGUUGAAAAUCACCCCCGGGCUUUGGCCGUGGCCGCGGGUGAGAUUCGGCGCCUAGAUCCUCCGGGGGCCUCAGCUCACCACGCGCUGCCCUGUGUGCGGCGGUGAAACCCAGGCCCCGACAGGC